GCCAAAUUCAUAUUGGCGCUCUGUGAAGGUUGGCUGGGAUGAGUCAACUUCUGGAGAGAGGCAGCCAAGAGUCUCUUUGGGAGAUUGAGCCUUUAACAACGUUUCCAAUGUAUCCAUCUUCCUUUCCACUUAGGCUCAAGCGCCCUUGGCCUUCUGACUUGCCCUCACUACAUGGUGGGAGAGAUGAUCUUAUGUGGCUUCGAGAUGGAGACAGAGCAAUCA
Molecule: long non-coding RNA, 222 nt
Organism: Zingiber officinale
Lineage: Eukaryota; Viridiplantae; Streptophyta; Magnoliopsida; Zingiberales; Zingiberaceae
Exons: 3
Source: RefSeq, a predicted model, not a curated record